CUUUUAUUCCUCGUUUAACACGCCGCUUAUGCCUCGUGGAUUAUCAAUGGAUAACGAUCACGUUGCAUCACAGACAGAAAAAUAUUUCUUUCAUUUUAUCGAGACCAAGAUAUUUCUCGUUUCUUUGUUAAGAGACAACGUGUGUAUAUAUUGACUCACCCUGACGGAGCAGCAGAUAUUCAAAAAAGAAGAAAAAAAAGAAAAGAAAAGAAAAGGAGAAAUAGAAGAAAGAGAGAGAGAGAGAGAGAGAGAGAGAGAAAAGAGAAAAG
Apis laboriosa (Himalayan honeybee) is the source of this 269-nucleotide long non-coding RNA. RefSeq lists it as uncharacterized. Lineage: Eukaryota; Metazoa; Arthropoda; Insecta; Hymenoptera; Apidae. The transcript has 2 exons. The record is from RefSeq and is a predicted model, not a curated record.